Nothobranchius furzeri (turquoise killifish) is the source of this 964-nucleotide long non-coding RNA. RefSeq lists it as uncharacterized. NCBI's taxonomy places the organism in Eukaryota, Metazoa, Chordata, Actinopteri, Cyprinodontiformes, Nothobranchiidae. The record is from RefSeq and is a predicted model, not a curated record.
GCUCCCCGUGCAGAAGCUCAUCAGGCUCUGCAGAAGAAUUGCCUGCUGAUUGAAAUCAGGUGUGUCGAAACUAAAACAUGCUGGAUACCGGCUCUCCAGGCCCAUAACUGAAUACCCCUGUCCUAUGCUAACCACGAUUCAUUGCAAGAAUUGACAGCUGAGAAGAGGCCUGAAGAAAGACCGAGGACAUGCUGGGGGGGACUAUGUUUGUCAGCUGGCCUGGGAACACCUUAGGAUUCCCUCGGAGGAGCUGGUACAAGUGGCUGGGGAGAAGGAAGUCUGGGGCACUCUGCUUAGGCUGCUGCCCUCGCGACCUGACCCUGGAUAAGCGGAAGAGAUAAGAAAUGAUAUAAAGCUGUACGCCAAGAGCAAGUGAGACAUCGACUCACUGAUCCACACCACCAGGAUCUACAACACUGAUUUCGGAAUGUCAUUCGGACUUGAGAAGUGUGGUCGGAUGGUGACAAAGAAAGGGAAGGUAGUCCACACAGAAGAGGUCUCGCUCCAAGAUGGAAAAAUAUUGAGGACAUUGAGGACAGCUACAAGUACCUUGGUAUUCCACAAGCAAAUGGCAACCUCGUCCCCAAGGCACUUUGCAUUGACUAUUGUAACAUGAGGAAAUAUGGGUUUUCUGUGCCAAAGGUUGUAUUUUGCCCGGCUGGGUCAGAGCUGGGUCGCUCAGAACUUUAACCCACAGAUUGAGACCUUUGCCGACAUGAAGUCUGCAAGAGUCUGCUGCAAACCUUAACAUCUGCCACCUGCAGUGCCAGAAGAGGUUGUUCUCAUGGAAGCUAGUCAUAACAUAACAAAGUCUUAAACUUCCUUUUCUUUAUUUUAAAUGUUAAAUAAUCAUUAUUAUCACUUUGCUCAUUAUAAAUGUGUUUUAAUCAAAUGAAUAGUUAUUAUGCUUUGGGUAAUCAUAAUAACUAUAAUGAAGCAAUGCUUAAUUAAAUAAUGUUUUGAA